GCUAUGGAAGGAUUUUGCAGCUGUAAUUAAGGUCCAAAAUCAGGUGACUUUAAGACAGGAAGAAAUUCCUUGAUGGCUCAGGUGGUAAAGAAUCUGCAAUGCAGGAGACCUAGGUUCAAUCCCUGGGUCAGGAAAAUUCCCUGGAGAAGGAAAUGGCAACCCACUCCAGUAUUCUUGCCUGGAGAAUCUCAUUGACAGAGAAGCCUGGAGAGCUACAGUCCACAGGGUUGCAAAGAGUCCAAAAGACUGAGCAACUCACUUUCACUUUUCACUUUCAAUCUUAAGAUAGGAAGAUUAACACUUAAAAUAGGAAGAUUAGUAUCUGGGUGGGGCUGACCUGAUCACAUGAGUCCUUUAAGGCUGAGUCUAGAGGUCAAAGACAUUAGGCCAAAGAUUUUAAGCACAAAGAGGGUUUGACAUGAGAUAGCUUUUCAAAAGUGACUCACUUGAACCAACAGAAAGGGGUAGAUGUGAUACAGUGCCAAUUCAAUGCCAAGCCUUGAAGAAGCUUAGCAUCUUCUUUUGCUUUUGGAAAUUAACCAUCGUGGAAGACAUCUGACUGGUAUCCAUGGAGGAAUCCUGUGAUAUUUCAUGCCUACUAUCUUCAGAGAGAGAGAGAGGAGCCAGUUGGAGAAGCACAAAAACACUAGACAUCCAAUUGCCAUGGAAUGAGACAUCGCUACAUAGGAGCCCACAUGACAAAGAACUAAAGCUCUGGCCAACAACCAAUGAGGAUGUGAAUCCAAGAAUCACAGAAGUGCCUUCGGAAGCAGCUUCUCCAGCCUCAGGACUGCCUGGCAAUGACUGUAGCCCUAGCCAACAGCUUAUUGAUCUCUCAGAACUGUGCAGCUUACCCAGACUCCUGACCCUCGGAAACUGUGUGAAAUAAUA
Bos taurus (domestic cattle) is the source of this 891-nucleotide long non-coding RNA. Lineage: Eukaryota; Metazoa; Chordata; Mammalia; Artiodactyla; Bovidae. The record is from Ensembl.